RNAcentral lists this unclassified non-coding RNA (396 nucleotides) under rhizosphere metagenome. RNAcentral describes it as "partial ribosomal RNA internal transcribed spacer region". The record is from RNAcentral.
GUAGGUGAACCUGCGGAAGGAUCAUUAACACGUUUUCAACGUUUUGACCCUAUUUCUUUUUUCCGUGCACCCGGCCUCCCAACCUUUCCUCUCAGUUUAUUCUGUCUGUGAUCGUGCUGGGCGCCUUCGGGGUAACAUAAAAGUCUUUAAUUCUGAAACGGCUUAGUUCUCUCAUGGAGACAACUAACCGUCUUUAGUUCUGAAACAGCUUAGUUCUCUCAUGGAGACAACUAACCUCUAGUACGAAUCGCGGACUUUUCCCGCUGGUGUUGCCAAACAACCCAAACCCUUAAAUCUAAUUGCUCUAAACUCUUUAGUUGCGGAUACAAUUAUGAAUUGUUUCAACAACGAAUUAAAAACAAACAACAACUCUUAACAACGGAUACCUUGGUUCUC